AAUUGAUCACUUGAUCCACGGAGGUCCACUUCUCUACUUCUAGGACUUCAGGGAUCUGCUGCUAAUGUCUUGGUCCAGAUACAACAGCACACCUUCAGAGGUCUGGUGGAGUCUAGGGCAUGGGUCAGAGCUGGUUUUGUGGAAAAACAGGUGAACCUAUACAAUAUUAGGCAGAUGGUAUUAAUGUUCUGCUGCAUUGGUUGAGAUCCGGUUGUCUUUUUGAUAAU
Long non-coding RNA from Sphaeramia orbicularis (orbiculate cardinalfish), 227 nucleotides. RefSeq lists it as uncharacterized. The transcript has 3 exons. The record is from RefSeq and is a predicted model, not a curated record. NCBI's taxonomy places the organism in Eukaryota, Metazoa, Chordata, Actinopteri, Kurtiformes, Apogonidae.